CGCCUGUUUAUCAAAAACAUCGCCUCUUGUAAGCUAAAAAUAAGAGGUCCCGCCUGCCCAGUGACAACAAGUUAAACGGCCGCGGUAUUUUGACCGUGCAAAGGUAGCGCAAUCACUUGUCUUUUAAAUGAAGACCCGUAUGAAUGGCACAACGAGGGCCUAACUGUCUCCUUUUUCAAGUCAAUGAAAUUGAUCUCCCCGUGCAGAAGCGGGGAUAAGCCCAUAAGACGAGAAGACCCUAUGGAGCUUUAGACACCAAAACAGACUUUGUUAAACACCCCUAGAUACAGGGCAUAACCAAAAGGACCCUGCUCUGAUGUCUUUGGUUGGGGCGACCGCGGGGAAUGCAAAUCCCCCAUGUGGACUGGGAGAACCUCUCCUACAGCCAAGAGCUACAGCUCUAAGCAAUAGAACUUCUAACCUAAAGAUCCGGCAAAGCCGAUCAACGAACCGAGUUACCCUAGGGAUAACAGCGCAAUCCCCUUCUAGAGCCCAUAUCGACAAGGGGGUUUACGACCUCGAUGUUGGAUCAGGACAUCCUAAUGGUGCAGCCGCUAUUAAGGGUUCGUUUGUUCAACGAUUAAAGUCCUACGUGAUCUGAGUUCAGAC
This 609-nucleotide ribosomal RNA is filed under the name Channa micropeltes (giant snakehead). Its description in RNAcentral is "partial 16S ribosomal RNA". It matches the Rfam family "Bacterial large subunit ribosomal RNA", at positions 1797 to 2616 of the family's 2925-position model. The record is from RNAcentral. Lineage: Eukaryota; Metazoa; Chordata; Actinopteri; Anabantiformes; Channidae.